Molecule: ribosomal RNA, 497 nt
Filed under: uncultured bacterium
Lineage: Bacteria
Description: partial 16S ribosomal RNA
Rfam family: Bacterial small subunit ribosomal RNA
Source: RNAcentral
GAUGAACGCUGGCGGCGUGCCUAAUACAUGCAAGUCGAGCGAACGGACGAGAAGCUUGCUUUUCUGAUGUUAGCGGCGGACGGGUGAGUAACACGUGGAUAACCUACCUAUAAGACUGGGAUAACUCCGGGAAACCGGAGCUAAUACCGGAUAAUAUUUUGAACCGCAUGGUUCAAAAGUGAAAGACGGUCUUGCUGUCACUUAUAGAUGGAUCCGCGCUGCAUUAGCUAGUUGGUAAGGUAACGGCUUACCAAGGCAACGAUGCAUAGCCGACCUGAGAGGGUGAUCGGCCACACUGGAACUGAGACACGGUCCAGACUCCUACGGGAGGCAGCAGUAGGGAAUCUUCCGCAAUGGGCGAAAGCCUGACGGAGCAACGCCGCGUGAGUGAUGAAGGUCUUCGGAUCGUAAAACUCUGUUAUUAGGGAAGAACAUAUGUGUAAGUAACUGUGCACAUCUUGACGGUACCUAAUCAGAAAGCCACGGCUAACUACGUG